GAUGAACGCUGACAGAAUGCUUAACACAUGCAAGUCUUUGGCGAAGCUGUGCUUGCACCGCCUAGCCAAGGCGGACGGGCGAGUAACGCGUAAGGAACUUGCCCUGCAGUCAGGGAUAACAGACGGAAACGACUGAUAAGACCUGGUAAAGUCAGGCGGACUCAUGUCCAGCCUGAUGAAAAGAGAUGCUGCAGGAGAGCCUUGCGUCCUAUUAGCUUGUUGGUGGGGUAACGGCCCACCAAGGCGGUGAUAGGUAGCCGGCCUGAGAGGGUGGACGGCCACAAGGGGACUGAGAUACGGCCCUUACUCCUACGGGAGGCAGCAGUGGGGAAUAUUGGACAAUGGGGGCAACCCUGAUCCAGCAAUUCUGUGUGCACGAUGAAGGUUUUCGGAUUGUAAAGUGCUUUCAGCAGGGAAGAAAAAAAUGACGGUACCUGCAGAAGAAGCGACGGCUAAAUACGUG
This 463-nucleotide ribosomal RNA is filed under the name uncultured bacterium. RNAcentral's name for it is "partial 16S ribosomal RNA". It matches the Rfam family "Bacterial small subunit ribosomal RNA", at positions 28 to 507 of the family's 1533-position model. The record is from RNAcentral.